GAUAUCCCGGUUUAGUUGGAAGUAGGCGUGCGUUAGGCAAAUCCGGCGCACAUAUACCGAGGCCAACGAUCGAGCCAGCUUGCUGGUGAAGUGACUGAACGAGGUUCCAGGAAAAGCCACUAAGCUUCAGCUACACACGACCGUACCGCAAACCGACACUGGUGCGCGAGAUGAGUAUUCUAAGGCGCUUGAGAGAACUCAGGAGAAGGAACUCGGCAAAUUGACACCGUAACUUCGGAAGAAGGUGUGCCCUAUUAGUGUGAAGUGAACAACGGAGCAUGAAUGGGUUGCAAAAAAUCGGUGGCUGCGACUGUUUAUUAAAAACACAGCACUCUGCAAACACGAAAGUGGACGUAUAGGGUGUGACGCCUGCCCGGUGCUGGAAGAUUAAAUGAUGGGGUGCAAGCUCUUGAUUGAAGUCCCAGUAAACGGCGGCCGUAACUAUAACGGUCCUAAGGUAGCGAAAUUCCUUGUCGGGUAAGUUCCGACCUGCACGAAUGGCGUAACGUGCCACACUGUCUCCUCCUGAGACUCAGCGAAGUUGAAAUGUUUGUGAUGAUGCAAUCUCCCCGCGGAAAGACGGAAAGACCCCAUGAACCUUUACUGUAGCUUUGUAUUGGACUUUGAACAGAUCUGUGUAGGAUAGGUGGGAGGCUUUGAAGCAGGGUCGCUAGAUCUUGUGGAGCCAACGUUGAAAUACCACCCUGGUGUGUUUGAGGUUCUAACCUAGGUCCAUUAUCUGGAUCGGGGACAGUGCAUGGUAGGCAGUUUGACUGGGGCGGUCUCCUCCCAAAGCGUAACGGAGGAGUUCGAAGGUACGCUAGUUACGGUCGGACAUCGUGACGAUAGUGCAAUGGCAUAAGCGUGCUUAACUGCGAGACUGACAAGUCGAGCAGAUGCGAAAGCAGGACAUAGUGAUCCGGUGGUUCUGUAUGGAAGGGCCAUCGCUCAACGGAUAAAAGGUACUCUGGGGAUAACAGGCUGAUACCGCCCAAGAGUUCAUAUCGACGGCGGUGUUUGGCACCUCGAUGUCGGCUCAUCUCAUCCUGGGGCUGUAGCCGGUCCCAAGGGUAUGGCUGUUCGCCAUUUAAAGAGGUACGUGAGCUGGGUUUAAAACGUCGUGAGACAGUUUGGUCCCUAUCUUCCGUGGGCGCUGCAGAUUUGAGGAAGCCUGCUCCUAGUACGAGAGGACCGGAGUGGACACACCUCUGGUGUAUCGGUUGUCACGCCAGUGGCAUUGCCGAGUAGCUAAGUGUGGAAGAUAACCGCUGAAAGCAUCUAAGCGGGAAACUCGUUUCAAGAUGAGAUCUGCCGGGGCCUUGAGCCCCCUAAAGAGUCGUUCAAGACCAGGACGUUGAUAGGUCAGGUGUGGAAGCGCAGUAAUGCGUUAAGCUAACUGAUACUAAUUGCUCGUGCGGCUUGACCCU
RNAcentral lists this ribosomal RNA (1427 nucleotides) under metagenome. RNAcentral's name for it is "bacterial LSU rRNA". It matches the Rfam family "Bacterial large subunit ribosomal RNA", at positions 1501 to 2925 of the family's 2925-position model. The record is from RNAcentral.